This 519-nucleotide ribosomal RNA is filed under the name uncultured archaeon. RNAcentral describes it as "bacterial SSU rRNA". It matches the Rfam family "Archaeal small subunit ribosomal RNA", at positions 463 to 981 of the family's 1478-position model. The record is from RNAcentral.
AGCCGCGGUAAUACCGGCGGCUCGAGUGGUGGCCACUUUUAUUGGGCUUAAAGCGUUCGUAGCUGGGUUGUUAAGUCUCUUGGGAAAUCCGGCGGCUUAACCGUCGGGCGUCUAAGAGAUACUGGCAAUCUUGGAACCGGGAGAGGUGAGGGGUACUUCGGGGGUAGGAGUGAAAUCCUGUAAUCCUCGAGGGACCACCUGUGGCGAAGGCGCCUCACCAGAACGGCUUCGACAGUGAGGGACGAAAGCUGGGGGAGCAAACCGGAUUAGAUACCCGGGUAGUCCCAGCCGUAAACGAUGUGCGUUAGGUGUAUCGACGACCACGAGUCGUCGAGGUGCCGAAGGGAAACCGUGAAACGUACCGCCUGGGAAGUACGGUCGCAAGGCUGAAACUUAAAGGAAUUGGCGGGGGAGCACCACAACAGGUGGAGCCUGCGGUUUAAUUGGACUCAACGCCGGGAAGCUCACCGGAUAGGACAGCGGAAUGAUUGCCGGGCUGAAGACUCUGCAUGACUAGCU